RNAcentral lists this long non-coding RNA (481 nucleotides) under Mytilus galloprovincialis (Mediterranean mussel). Lineage: Eukaryota; Metazoa; Mollusca; Bivalvia; Mytilida; Mytilidae. The record is from RNAcentral.
AUUUCGACUUAUGAGCUCGAAUGUAUGAGCUUGAAUGUCCCUUUGGUAUCCAUCGCCUUUCUUUUUAAAUAUGCAGCUCAGCGUUAUAUUAUAAAAAAACAAACAAAUAUAAGCUCAAUUACUUAAGAAAAUCACAAAACACCUUGACAUCAGUUGGAUUGUGGAAGGACACCAUUACAUGCAGGUAAGUAUACUAUAAAUUAGGCCGUUAGUUUUCAAGUUUGAAUUGUUUUACAUUGUCAUUUUGGGGCCUUUUAUAGCUGACUAUGCGGUAUUGGCUUUGCUCAUUGUUGAAGGCCGUACGGUGACCUAUAGUUGUUAAUUUCUGUGUCAUUUUGGUCUCUUGUGGAGAGUUGUCUCAAUGGUAAUCAUACCACAUCUUCUUUUUUGUAUACACGUCCAGUUAACGGAUGGAUGGGCUCAUAAAUAAAAAAGUUAAUUCAAACAUAACAAAACCACAACAAGAAAAACAGAUACAAUU